GUAAAACGUGCCAUGCAAUGGUGUAGAGUUGGACCCAUCCCCCAGCAACGUCAAAAUGCAGAAGGAAAAGCCAGUUUGCGCACGUCUUUCAUAAUCGAAGGUCACGGAGAUCAUUAUGUAAAACGCGUCAUGCAGUGCUGUAGAGGUUGGGUAAGAACGAGACGUGUUACUUCAUCAUCAAUUUGGUGCAAUAGCUGCAAGGCUUAAAAGGUGGGUCAGGGUGAGCAAAAGUCGUAUAAAACGAGAGAGAAAAGGCGAUCUGACAUCAGUCGAGUGAGCAUCUCCGACACGGCAACAACUGCAGCGCACUACAGGUCACCAAAUGCCUUCUUCGUCGUAUUACAUCAGUUCACAAUCAUGGUUAACUAUGGCAUUGUGAUGCUGUCGGGUGUUUUAUCGUUGAUGGCUGCGGCAACCACAAGUGUACUGAUGUCUCCUGGGUAUGGUGGAUACCAAGCAACAGCACCGAAAGAAGACUACACCACGUGACCGCCUCACUACAAAAAAAAAGGUUAACGUACGCAACACCUACUUACUACACCGAGGCCCCCCAACUAGUACACCACCGAGGCUUCAGAGUAUUACACGAAAACAUAUGCUGCCCCGAGCUACUACAUCGAAGCCACCAAGUAUUACUCUGCCCCGAGAUACAUCACCAAAGCGCUUGAGUACUAUACCGAGGCUCAAGUUCAUUACACCACUAAAGCUGUCAAAUACUACACCGAAGCGCCCAAGUACUACAAUGCAACAUAGACUGCCCCAGCUUAGUACACCGAGGCAGCGGAGCAGCGGAGUACUACUACACCACCACCGAGGCACCGGAGUACUACACAACUACUUACGCCACUCCGACUUACUACACCGAAGCACUACUCUACCCAGAGUUACUACACUACUAAAGCUUCUGAAUAUUAUACCACAACCAACGCUUCCCCAACUUACUACGAGAAGGCUCCUUAAUACUAGAGUCGAAAUUUCUAUUUGUUAAUCAUUUAAAUUCGUCGGUUAUCUUCAUGGUUACUAGUGACUGAAUUGAUUGUUGAUCUUAAACGAGAAAAUAAA
Molecule: RNA transcript, 1062 nt
Organism: Daphnia pulicaria
Lineage: Eukaryota; Metazoa; Arthropoda; Branchiopoda; Diplostraca; Daphniidae
Exons: 5
Source: RefSeq, a predicted model, not a curated record